UAUAAUGGGUCAGCGACUUAUAUUCUGUAGCAAGGUUAACCGAAUAGGGGAGCCGAAGGGAAACCGAGUCUUAACUGGGCGUUAAGUUGCAGGGUAUAGACCCGAAACCCGGUGAUCUAGCCAUGGGCAGGUUGAAGGUUGGGUAACACUAACUGGAGGACCGAACCGACUAAUGUUGAAAAAUUAGCGGAUGACUUGUGGCUGGGGGUGAAAGGCCAAUCAAACCGGGAGAUAGCUGGUUCUCCCCGAAAGCUAUUUAGGUAGCGCCUCGUGAAUUCAUCUCCGGGGGUAGAGCACUGUUUCGGCAAGGGGGUCAUCCCGACUUACCAACCCGAUGCAAACUGCGAAUACCGGAGAAUGUUAUCACGGGAGACACACGGCGGGUGCUAACGUCCGUCGUGAAGAGGGAAACAACCCAGACCGCCAGCUAAGGUCCCAAAGUCAUGGUUAAGUGGGAAACGAUGUGGGAAGGCCCAGACAGCCAGGAUGUUGGCUUAGAAGCAGCCAUCAUUUAAAGAAAGCGUAAUAGCUCACUGGUCGAGUCGGCCUGCGCGGAAGAUGUAACGGGGCUAAACCAUGCACCGAAGCUGCGGCAGCGACGCUGAUGCGUUGUUGGGUAGGGGAGCGUUCUGUAAGCCUGCGAAGGUGUGCUGUGAGGCAUGCUGGAGGUAUCAGAAGUGCGAAUGCUGACAUAAGUAACGAUAAAGCGGGUGAAAAGCCCGCUCGCCGGAAGACCAAGGGUUCCUGUCCAACGUUAAUCGGGGCAGGGUGAGUCGACCCCUAAGGCGAGGCCGAAAGGCGUAGUCGAUGGGAAACAGGUUAAUAUUCCUGUACUUGGUGUUACUGCGAAGGGGGGACGGAGAAGGCUAUGUUGGCCGGGCGACGGUUGUCCCGGUUUAAGCGUGUAGGCUGGUUUUCCAGGCAAAUCCGGAAAAUCAAGGCUGAGGCGUGAUGACGAGGCACUACGGUGCUGAAGCAACAAAUGCCCUGCUUCCAGGAAAAGCCUCUAAGCAUCAGGUAACAUCAAAUCGUACCCCAAACCGACACAGGUGGUCAGGUAGAGAAUACCAAGGCGCUUGAGAGAACUCGGGUGAAGGAACUAGGCAAAAUGGUGCCGUAACUUCGGGAGAAGGCACGCUGAUAUGUAGGUGAAGUCCCUCGCGGAUGGAGCUGAAAUCAGUCGAAGAUACCAGCUGGCUGCAACUGUUUAUUAAAAACACAGCACUGUGCAAACACGAAAGUGGACGUAUACGGUGUGACGCCUGCCCGGUGCCGGAAGGUUAAUUGAUGGGGUUAGCCGCAAGGCGAAGCUCUUGAUCGAAGCCCCGGUAAACGGCGGCCGUAACUAUAACGGUCCUAAGGUAGCGAAAUUCCUUGUCGGGUAAGUUCCGACCUGCACGAAUGGCGUAAUGAUGGCCAGGCUGUCUCCACCCGAGACUCAGUGAAAUUGAACUCGCUGUGAAGAUGCAGUGUACCCGCGGCAAGACGGAAAGACCCCGUGAACCUUUACUAUAGCUUGACACUGAACAUUGAGCCUUGAUGUGUAGGAUAGGUGGGAGGCUUAGAAGUGUGGACGCCAGUCUGCAUGGAGCCGACCUUGAAAUACCACCCUUUAAUGUUUGAUGUUCUAACGUUGACCCGUAAUCCGGGUUGCGGACAGUGUCUGGUGGGUAGUUUGACUGGGGCGGUCUCCUCCUAAAGAGUAACGGAGGAGCACGAAGGUUGGCUAAUCCUGGUCGGACAUCAGGAGGUUAGUGCAAUGGCAUAAGCCAGCUUGACUGCGAGCGUGACGGCGCGAGCAGGUGCGAAAGCAGGUCAUAGUGAUCCGGUGGUUCUGAAUGGAAGGGCCAUCGCUCAACGGAUAAAAGGUACUCCGGGGAUAACAGGCUGAUACCGCCCAAGAGUUCAUAUCGACGGCGGUGUUUGGCACCUCGAUGUCGGCUCAUCACAUCCUGGGGCUGAAGUAGGUCCCAAGGGUAUGGCUGUUCGCCAUUUAAAGUGGUACGCGAGCUGGGUUUAGAACGUCGUGAGACAGUUCGGUCCCUAUCUGCCGUGGGCGCUGGAGAACUGAGGGGGGCUGCUCCUAGUACGAGAGGACCGGAGUGGACGCAUCACUGGUGUUCGGGUUGUCAUGCCAAUGGCACUGCCCGGUAGCUAAAUGCGGAAGAGAUAAGUGCUGAAAGCAUCUAAGCACGAAACUUGCC
RNAcentral lists this ribosomal RNA (2204 nucleotides) under Escherichia coli. RNAcentral's name for it is "partial 23S ribosomal RNA". It matches the Rfam family "Bacterial large subunit ribosomal RNA", at positions 611 to 2798 of the family's 2925-position model. Lineage: Bacteria; Pseudomonadati; Pseudomonadota; Gammaproteobacteria; Enterobacterales; Enterobacteriaceae. The record is from RNAcentral.